Molecule: unclassified non-coding RNA, 377 nt
Filed under: fungal sp.
Lineage: Eukaryota; Fungi
Description: partial internal transcribed spacer region
Rfam family: Eukaryotic small subunit ribosomal RNA (bases 1-46)
Source: RNAcentral
AAGUCGUAACAAGGUAACCGUAGGUGAACCUGCGGUUGGAUCAUUACAAAAAUGAGUUGUGCAGCAACUCUGCUGGUGCUCUUUUGCUUUGGCAGAAGAUGUGGCCUGCAGAUGAUGCCAACAACCAAUACAACACCCUUGUGUGAACCGUUUUGUCUCUGGCAGUUGGACGGAUGCAGUGGACUACUUCUCCCUCGCACCUUGGUGCAAGGUAAGAAGAUGUCUUUGCACCUGUUUGUCAGCUUGGCUGUGCCCGAGCCGUGGACAAGCUGCCGCCCAUGAUCUUACAAGCUCUGUAUCUUUUGUGUUAUUGAAGUGUCUGACAUAUGUACAUCAUAAUGUGCAAACAACUUUUGGCAACGGAUCUCUUGGCUCUC